Molecule: ribosomal RNA, 305 nt
Filed under: Peripatus juanensis
Lineage: Eukaryota; Metazoa; Onychophora; Udeonychophora; Euonychophora; Peripatidae
Description: partial 16S ribosomal RNA
Source: RNAcentral
AUGGAUUAAUGGGGCUAUGCUUUCUUAAAUUAAAUUUUAAAAAUAAUUUUUUUAGUGAAGAAACUAAAAUGUUAUUGAGGGACGAGAAGACCCUAUUAAGCUUAAUAUAAUUAUUUUAUUGGGGAAAUAAAAGAAAAAAAUUUCUUUUGUAAAAGUUUUUGAUAAAUUUAGAUUAAUUAUUAAUUAUGAUAGAAUAAGUUACUAUAGGGAUAACAGCAUAAUUUUUUUAAAAAGUUCAUAUUGAUAAAUAAGAUUAUGACCUCGAUGUUGGAUUAUAAUUAUUAUAUGAUGUAGUUGUUGUAUAA